CUUCCGGCCACUUUAGCACCCAGAGUGGGCUAACGCCUCAUGGCCUCUUCCUGGGCCAGUCUGAGCGGGGUAGGAAGACCCAAAGCCACGUGAGUCAGGAUCUGGCUGGGCUGCACCUGACCGCCACCCUGCCUUCUGCAGCCCUGUGGGAGGAAGACCAAGGAAAUCUGUCUGCUUCUCAGCUUGAAUGCUGCUAGUUUGAGCUUGGGAGCAAGAAGAUUGUUGACUAAAUGUGACCGUUUCGAGGACAUCAGCUGCUCUGUCCCUGCUCUGUGAUAAGCAGAACGCGCCAUUAGCCUCGAGUUGCUGGUGAAGCGGUGAGGAAACUGUGACUCAGCCUGGCCCACAUCUUCCCCCUGGCCCGCUGGCUACACUGAGGGCCAGCACCAGGCAUCUGCUCCCUCUAUGGGCUUGACUGCUGAUGACAAACAAUGACAUCUGACUUCCUUUUUCUUUGAUGAACAAGGUUACCCUGGAAGGCCCUAGAACGAUAACGAAUGUCCAGGAGAGACGGAGAAGAGAAGACGGUCGUGUGCAGACCAAGGCAGAGACUGGAGAUAUGCAGCCAUAAGUCAAGGACCACCUGGAGUGACAAGAAAGGGGGAGGCAAAGAAGGACCCUCACCCAGAGCCUCAGAGGGGUAUGGCCCUGCUGACCUUGACUUUGGACCUGUGGCCUCCAGAUUGUGAGAGAGUAAAUUUCCGUUGUUCUAAGCCA
Long non-coding RNA from Suricata suricatta (meerkat), 717 nucleotides. RefSeq lists it as uncharacterized. The record is from RefSeq and is a predicted model, not a curated record. NCBI's taxonomy places the organism in Eukaryota, Metazoa, Chordata, Mammalia, Carnivora, Herpestidae. The transcript has 3 exons.